RNAcentral lists this transfer RNA (70 nucleotides) under Gephyromantis horridus. RNAcentral describes it as "partial tRNA-Val". It matches the Rfam family "tRNA". From Rfam's summary of the family: Transfer RNA (tRNA) molecules are approximately 80 nucleotides in length. Their secondary structure includes four short double-helical elements and three loops (D, anti-codon, and T loops). Further hydrogen bonds mediate the characteristic L-shaped molecular structure. tRNAs have two regions of fundamental functional importance: the anti-codon, which is responsible for specific mRNA codon recognition, and the 3' end, to which the tRNAs corresponding amino acid is attached (by aminoacyl-tRNA synthetases). tRNAs cope with the degeneracy of the genetic code in two manners: having more than one tRNA (with a specific anti-codon) for a particular amino acid; and 'wobble' base-pairing, i.e. permitting non-standard base-pairing at the 3rd anti-codon position. Lineage: Eukaryota; Metazoa; Chordata; Amphibia; Anura; Mantellidae. The record is from RNAcentral.
ACAAAGUGUAGCUUAAAUAAAGCACUUCGCUUACACCGAAUAAAUACCUGUUAAACCCAAGUCACUUUGA